Molecule: long non-coding RNA, 1391 nt
Organism: Anas platyrhynchos (mallard)
Lineage: Eukaryota; Metazoa; Chordata; Aves; Anseriformes; Anatidae
Source: RefSeq, a predicted model, not a curated record
CCCUGUGGGACAAGCACACACAAUCGAGCCUGCAGAAAGCAGCAGCACCUGAGCCCCAAAAUGGUGUGAGAACUGUGACUGCUACACACAAGGGGAAAUACUUUGCUGCCAGUUGGAUAAGUCCCAAGAGGAAGGGGAUGCUAAAGCAAGGAGAGAAAGAGUGGUGCACAAGCAGGAACUAAUAAAUCUCCCCAGCCCUGGGAUGCAGGCAGAGUGCCAGCAGCCCCUGCUAGGUGACUUGACCAAGGCUGUGCAGAACGUACCUGGUGGCACCGCUCCAUGCUCAGAUUGCACUUCUGAACUCUCCGUGGCUGCUGACAGCUGGAUCAGGCCACAAUAAUUACUUUGCUGUCUUGGUAAUUUAUUAUUAUGUCCCACAGUACUAAAGCUUUUCUACAGAUAACCUUUCUGCUCCUUUUUGGGCCUCUCUGAAGAAAACUAACGACCACUGACACAGCCUGUUCAUCACAUCUGAUGGUUCAGCCCACAGAGAUGAAUUAAGUUAAUAUCAGAGAGGCUGCGAAGAUAUGCUCUUCUUUCAUCACACACAAUAAAAAAUAAGAGCCCAGAGACUUAAACGCAGGUGAAGAGAGAGAUGGCCGCACACACACAGCCUUGCGGGUUGCCUUUGCUCCCGAUGUUUCUCAGGCUGCCGACAGUCCUGGCCACGCGGUGCGGGGAGCCCAGAGCCACCAUGCGCAGCAAGGAGCUGGCAGCACCGCGCCCACCCGCUGCAGACACCGCGCCACACGCUGCCCCCACAGCCAGCCACGAAGCUCAGCAGCUCAGGGAGCAAGAUACUCACUAAAUGGAAGUACUUCUCAGUGUCCAGAUCCUUCACUGCGAAGAACAAGAGAGACAGCAGCUUAGCCUGGGGGCCCAGACCGAAACCUGCCUGCACACACUGUGUCAGGACCUGUGCUUGCUUUCCACAAGAGGUCCAGACGCCCAGCUGGUGUUUCAGCACUUUUCUUGGUUUUGGCAGUGUUUAUUUACUGCCUUCUUGGGGGGCAGGCGAGAACCUCAGGAAGCACUUUAAGGGGUGCUUUAAGUCUCCCAGGGGGUGUUGCAGGAGGACCCUAAGAGGGUGUGAGCAGGAUUAGCACAGGGCCUCUCCUGCAUGCCGCCCCUGUGCCGGGUGCCCACAUGCCACGAUGGCCUGCUAUGGCUCCCAGCAUUUGUCCCCAGGCAGCCACAGCCUGGCCGCCUGUCCUCAGGCUAACAGGCAAAGGGAAUCCCACAGAGACGGACUGUGUGCAGAUGGCCUAAGAGACGGAGUGGUUGAAAUUCUUUUUCUAAUGCGAAUUUUUGUCUCUUUCUGCCUGUUUUGACUUUCUGUGCAGCCUGAAACAUAGGUGUAUGCUGGCAAUAAACUGAGCAUGGGAGAGAAA